This 393-nucleotide ribosomal RNA is filed under the name uncultured bacterium. Its description in RNAcentral is "bacterial SSU rRNA". It matches the Rfam family "Bacterial small subunit ribosomal RNA", at positions 975 to 1375 of the family's 1533-position model. The record is from RNAcentral.
CGGGUCUUGACAUCGGAUGCAUAACUAAGAGAUUAGUGAAGUCCUUCGGGACAUCCAGACAGGUGGUGCAUGGUUGUCGUCAGCUCGUGUCGUGAGAUGUUGGGUUAAGUCCCGCAACGAGCGCAACCCUUAUAAUUAGUUGCUACGCAAGAGCACUCUAAUUAGACUGCCGUUGACAAAACGGAGGAAGGUGGGGAUGACGUCAAAUCAUCAUGCCCUUUAUGACCCGGGCUACACACGUACUACAAUGGUGUUUAACAAAGAGAAGCAAAGCCGCGAGGUAGAGCAAAUCUCAAAAAAACAUCUCAGUUCAGACUGCAGGCUGCAACUCGCCUGCACGAAGUCGGAAUUACUAGUAAUCGUAGGUCAGCAUACUACGGUGAAUACGUUCCC